AUUGAACGCUGGCGGCAUGCUUUACACAUGCAAGUCGAACGGUAACAGGCCGCAAGGUGCUGACGAGUGGCGCACGGGUGCGUAAUGCAUCGGAACGUGCCCAGUCGUGGGGGAUAACUACUCGAAAGAGUAGCUAAUACCGCAUACGAACUAUGUAUGAAAGCGGGGGACCGUAAGGCCUCGCGCGAUUGGAGCGGCCGAUGUCAGAUUAGGUAGAUGUUGGGGUAAAGGCUCACCAAGCCAAAGAUCUGUAGCUGGUCUGAGAGGACGACCAGCCACACUAGAACUGAGACACGGCCCAGACUCCUACGGGAGGCAGCGGUGGGGAAUUUUGGACAAUGGGCGGAAGCCUGAUCCAGCAAUGCCGCGUGCAGGAAGAAGGCCUUCGGGUUGGAAACUGCUUUUGUACGGAACGAAACGGCUCUGGUUAAUACCCGGGGCUAAUGACGGUACCGUAAGAAUAAGCACCGGCUAACUACGUG
RNAcentral lists this ribosomal RNA (482 nucleotides) under uncultured bacterium. RNAcentral describes it as "partial 16S ribosomal RNA". It matches the Rfam family "Bacterial small subunit ribosomal RNA", at positions 30 to 507 of the family's 1533-position model. The record is from RNAcentral.